This 253-nucleotide ribosomal RNA is filed under the name uncultured bacterium. RNAcentral describes it as "partial 16S ribosomal RNA". It matches the Rfam family "Bacterial small subunit ribosomal RNA", at positions 524 to 776 of the family's 1533-position model. The record is from RNAcentral.
UACGUAGGUGACCAGCGUUGUCCGGAUUUACUGGGCGUAAAGAGCGCGCAGGCGGUCGUUCAAGUCGAGUGUGAAAGCCCCCGGCUCAACUGGGGAGGGUCACUCGAUACUGAUCGACUUGAAGGCAGGAGAGGGAAGCGGAAUUCCCGGUGUAGUGGUGAAAUGCGUAGAUAUCAGGAGGAACACCUAUAGCGAAGGCAGCUUGCUGGGACGUUACUGACGCUAAGGCGCGAAAGCGUGGGGAGCGAACAGG